UGGGGAAUUUUGGACAAUGGGCGCAAGCCUGAUCCAGCAAUGCCGCGUGCAGGAUGAAGGCCUUCGGGUUGUAAACUGCUUUUGUACGGAGCGAAAAGGUCUGCCCUAAUACGGUGGGCUCAUGACGGUACCGUAAGAAUAAGCACCGGCUAACUACGUGCCAGCAGCCGCGGUAAUACGUAGGGUGCGAGCGUUAAUCGGAAUUACUGGGCGUAAAGCGUGCGCAGGCGGUUAUAUAAGACAGAUGUGAAAUCCCCGGGCUCAACCUGGGAACUGCAUUCAAAGCUGACUGACUAGAGUAUGGUAGAGAGUGGUGGAAUUUCCUGUGUAGCGGUGAAAUGCGUAGAUAUGCGGAGGAACACCGAUGGCGAAGGCAAUCCCCUGGACCUGUACUGACGCUCAUGCACGAAAGCGUGGGGAGCAAACA
Molecule: ribosomal RNA, 427 nt
Filed under: uncultured bacterium
Lineage: Bacteria
Description: bacterial SSU rRNA
Rfam family: Bacterial small subunit ribosomal RNA
Source: RNAcentral